UACGUAGGGUGCGAGCGUUAAUCGGAAUUACUGGGCGUAAAGCGUGCGUAGGCGGUUCGUUAAGUCAGCUGUGAAAGCCCCGGGCUCAACCUGGGAACUGCGGUUGAAACUGGCGAACUAGAAUCUGGCAGAGGGGGGUGGAAUUCCACGUGUAGCAGUGAAAUGCGUAGAGAUGUAGAGGAACACCGAUGGCGAAGGCAGCCCCCUGGGCUGAGAUUGACGCUCAGGCACGAAAGCGUGGGGAGCAAACAGG
RNAcentral lists this ribosomal RNA (253 nucleotides) under uncultured bacterium. RNAcentral describes it as "partial 16S ribosomal RNA". It matches the Rfam family "Bacterial small subunit ribosomal RNA", at positions 524 to 776 of the family's 1533-position model. The record is from RNAcentral.